UACGUAGGGGGCAAGCGUUGUCCGGAUUCACUGGGCGUAAAGCGCGUGUAGGCGGCGCGUCAAGUCGGGUGUGAAAGCCCGGGGCUCAACCCCGGGAUGCCGCUCGAAACUGGCGUGCUUGAGGACGGAAGAGGGGAGUGGAAUUCCUGGUGUAGCGGUGAAAUGCGCAGAUAUCAGGAAGAACACCCGUGGCGAAGGCGGCUCUCUGGGACGGUACUGACGCUGAGACGCGAAAGCGUGGGGAGCGAACAGG
RNAcentral lists this ribosomal RNA (253 nucleotides) under uncultured bacterium. RNAcentral describes it as "partial 16S ribosomal RNA". It matches the Rfam family "Bacterial small subunit ribosomal RNA", at positions 524 to 776 of the family's 1533-position model. The record is from RNAcentral.